Molecule: long non-coding RNA, 700 nt
Organism: Asterias rubens (European starfish)
Lineage: Eukaryota; Metazoa; Echinodermata; Asteroidea; Forcipulatida; Asteriidae
Exons: 5
Source: RefSeq, a predicted model, not a curated record
AACACUCUUCGUGCCAACCAUUCGGAGUAGGCUUGCUUAAACGUUUUUUUGAGGACCACGGAGUUGAAGCAGGUUCUCCGCAAGUUAAUCAUCGGAUGCGGUAUUUUUCAAGCCACACACAGAAUGGCUAAUAUUGACGUCCGGAAAACACUCUUCGUGCCAACCAUUCGGAGUAGGCUUGCUUAAACGUUUUUUUGAGGACAACGGAGUUGAAGCAGGUUCUCCGCAAGUUAAUCAUCGGAUGCGGUAUUUUUCAAGCCACACACAGAAUGGCUAAUAUUGACGUCCGGAAAACACUCUUCGUGCCAACCAUUCGGAGUAGGCUUGCUUAAACGUUUUUUUGAGGACAACGGAGUUGAAGCAGGUUCUCCGCAAGUUAAUCAUCGGAUGCGGUAUUUUUCAAGCCACACACAGAAUGGCUAAUAUUGACGUCCGGAAAACACUCUUCGUGCCAACCAUUCGGAGUAGGCUUGCUUAAACGUUUUUUUGAGGACAACGGAGUUGAAGCAGGUUCUCCGCAAGUUAAUCAUCGGAUGCGGUAUUUUUCAAGCCACACACAGAAUGGCUAAUAUUGACGUCCGGAAAACACUCUUCGUGCCAACCAUUCGGAGUAGGCUUGCUUAAACGUUUUUUUGAGGACCACGGAGUUAAAGCAGGUUCUCCGCAAGUUAAUCAUCGGAUGCGGUAUUUUUCAAGCCAC